UAUUGGACAAUGGGCGAAAGCCUGAUCCAGCAAUGCCGCGUGAGUGAUGAAGGCCCUAGGGUUGUAAAGCUUUUUUACCCGGGAAGAUAAUGACUGUACCGGGAGAAUAAGCCCCGGCUAACUCCGUGCCAGCAGCCGCGGUAAUACGGAGGGGGCUAGCGUUGUUCGGAAUUACUGGGCGUAAAGCGCACGUAGGCGGCUUUGUAAGUCAGAGGUGAAAGCCUGGAGCUCAACUCCAGAACUGCCUUUGAGACUGCAUCGCUUAAUCCGGGAGAGGUCAGUGAAUUCCGAGUGAGAGGUAAAUUCGAGUUUCGAAGACACCAGUGGCGAGGCGGCUGCUGGCUGGUUAGCGUGCGGCAAAUCG
RNAcentral lists this ribosomal RNA (364 nucleotides) under uncultured bacterium. Its description in RNAcentral is "bacterial SSU rRNA". It matches the Rfam family "Bacterial small subunit ribosomal RNA", at positions 362 to 751 of the family's 1533-position model. The record is from RNAcentral.